Molecule: long non-coding RNA, 751 nt
Organism: Oryza brachyantha (malo sina)
Lineage: Eukaryota; Viridiplantae; Streptophyta; Magnoliopsida; Poales; Poaceae
Exons: 2
Source: RefSeq, a predicted model, not a curated record
GGUCGGCGAUCGUUCACCCCAUGGCUGCCGACGUGGCACGGCGCAUCCUCCGGAAGGUGACACCUGAUCGGAAAAAAAUUUGGUGGGCGAGGGGCUCACGCCCACCUCCCUGCACUCCGCCUCCCGAUGGCGAACACAUGAGCAGUCCACGGAUCGGACGGCGACACGCGCUCGGCUCCCCAUCGCACAUGGUUGCGCUCGGCUCCACUUCACACCGCGUCGGCUCGCCAUCGCCCAUCGCGCUCGGCUCUUCUCCUCCAGACUCGAUUCCUUUUAUCGUUCUCCCGAUUCGAUUCGGGGUGGAAAGCGCAUCCCCUCCGUCAUCCAACAGAAGCGCCGCCAUGCUACCCCUCCCCCACCUGCCAUCGAACAGAAGCGCCGCCGCGCUUCACUCCCCCACCCGUCGAUGCGGCCGCGCCUCAUCCCUUCUCCUGCGGUGUUCCCCUGCCAAGGACGCUAUCGGCAACGGUGGAGAUGAUACAUGAUGCUGAGGGUGGAAAUUUGACUGUGGAUGAAGUCUGUCAACAAAAUAGAUGAUAAUGUGGUAUCUACUGUACGGAUGGGUGGUGAGGGUGGAAUUUUGUUUGCAGAUGAAGUCAUAUUUACUGGGUAUUGUCAGCAAACCAGUGAUGAAUGUAUUUACUGGGCAUUGUUUAGAAUUGCCUUGAUUGAUGAGAGUACUCUGUUGUAUGGUCUUUGAAGCUUGGAUCCAAAUUCAGAUCCUUUUGUAAUAUGUAUAUUUUUUUUUAUA